Phyllostomus hastatus (greater spear-nosed bat) is the source of this 640-nucleotide long non-coding RNA. RefSeq lists it as uncharacterized. The transcript has 3 exons. The record is from RefSeq and is a predicted model, not a curated record. NCBI's taxonomy places the organism in Eukaryota, Metazoa, Chordata, Mammalia, Chiroptera, Phyllostomidae.
GGGAGCUGUUUGGAGAGGUGUGUGUGUAGUGUUAGCUUUACACACGCAGAGGUGUAUCAGGAUCCAGCAGGCUGGGCCCUGUAUCAGGGCCCUGUGGAAAAUGAGAAAGGGCCCAAGGGAAAGGGCAAAAGAAGCUGGCCCAGUGCCUCCCUCCUUCCCUCCUACCCUCCUCCAAGCCUGGCCUGAGCCAAGAGGAACCAGCUCCAAGGAAGGUGGAAAGACAGAAGAAGGUCACUGCUGACGUCAGAGACAUUCAGGGAAGGGAGAGAGAAAUAGAGGGAGAGAAACGUCAGUCUGAUCAGUUGCCUCUCUUAUGCGCUCCAAAAUCGGAACAGCGACCUUUUGCUUGGCGGGAGGACACCAAACCAACUGAGCCACACUGGCCAGGGCCUGAGCCUACAUCUUCAAGACAGGAACUCCAGCACCCCCAACAACCUUCAGUCACUGUGCAAAGCAGGAACUGGGAUGGAGGAGAAGGUAGAAAAUUAUGGAUUGGGUGGUUCACUAGCCUUAGGCAAGAGGCUCAGGGACAGCCUGAUUUAAAACAAUUUUUAAAAAAUCCUUACCCGAGAAUAUGUUUAUUGAUUUGAGAGAGAUAGAGAGAGAGAGAGAGACAUCAAUGUGAGAAAGAAACAUCGAU